UCACACUGUUUUACUUGCACACACACACAUCUAUUAUCUUAAUUAGUACUACUCUAUGCAGGAAAUAAAAUUGUUUCGCUUUAAUCAACGUAUGUAUCAUUUGAUUAAUGAUUAUGAGUUUUCUGGGGGCGGCUUCUAAGUGGGUUAUGGAUAGAAUCCGUCAUUCCGCAAACAUGUAUGCAAACAUGCGUUGUGGGUCGUCUAGUGGUGGUGGUCCGAACGCCGUCUAGAAAAUGAAUCUCUAAGGUUAAAUCUUCAUAAAUAAUACAUGAUUAAAUCAUUACCGCAAAUCCAAAUCCACAGAUCCAAUAAACCUAAGUGGAAAACAGACAAACCCUCCGGUAGUUUAUUUUAAUUAUGAAAAAUGAACUAAAUCAAUAAACUAAUAUAUGUUUUGGAGCUCCUAACAUUGUCUAGAUUAGUUAUGAUAUCGUCGAUA
Non-coding RNA from Camelina sativa (false flax), 439 nucleotides. Lineage: Eukaryota; Viridiplantae; Streptophyta; Magnoliopsida; Brassicales; Brassicaceae. The record is from RefSeq and is a predicted model, not a curated record.